This 1744-nucleotide ribosomal RNA is filed under the name Claudrilus corderoi. RNAcentral describes it as "SSU rRNA". It matches the Rfam family "Eukaryotic small subunit ribosomal RNA". Lineage: Eukaryota; Metazoa; Annelida; Polychaeta; Protodrilidae. The record is from RNAcentral.
GCCAUGCAUGUGUAAGUACAGACUAUGAUACGGUGAAACCGCGAAUGGCUCAUUAAAUCAGUUAUUGUUUAUUUGGACUUAGAAUGGUUACUUGGAUAACCGUGGCAAUUCUAGGGCUAAUACAUGCACAAAUUCCGACUCUCUCUUCGGAGGAGAAGGGAUGCCUUUAUUAGAUCAAGACCAGCUGUCUUCGGACAAACUUUUGGUGACUCUGGAUAACCUCGCCGAUCGCCAUCAAAUGGCGACGUUCCAUUCAAAUUUCUGCCUCAUCAACUGUCGAUGGUAAGGUACCGGCUUACCAUGGUGUCUACGGGUAACGGGGAAUUAGGGUUCGAUUCCGGAGAGGGAGCCUGAGAAACGGCUACCACAUCCAAGGAAGGCAGCAGGCGCGCAAAUUACCCACUCCCGGCACGGGGAGGUAGUGACGAAAAAUAACAAUGCAGUGUUCUUCUCGAAUACUGUAAUUGGAAUGAGUGUUGCUUAAACCAUAGCACGAGGAUCUAUUGGAGGGCAAGUCUGGUGCCAGCAGCCGCGGUAAUUCCAGCUCCAAUAGCGUAUAUUAAAGUUGUUGCAGUUAAAAAGCUCGUAGUUGGAUCUCGGCCAUGGUCGUGUCUUUGCUGCUCCGCAGUACUUGCACGCGCACCGGGCUUUACUUUCCUAGGUGUGGUUGCUUGCACUUCAUUGUUGCGGGUAAUCCGUCUUGGACUUAUUACUUUGAAGAAAUUAGAGUGCUCAAAGCAGGCUGAACGCUUGAAUAAUCGUGCAUGGAAUAAUAGAAUACGAUCGCGAAGUAGUUCUGUUGGUCUUUCCACUACGUGAUAAUGAUUAAGAGGGACGGACGGUGGCAUUCGUACUGCUUCGUUAGAGGUGAAAUUCUUUGAUCGAAGCAUGACGCACUAAAGCGAAGGCAUUUGCCAAGAACGUUUUCAUUAAUCAAGAACGAAAGUUAGAGGCUCGAAGACGAUCAGAUACCGUCGUAGUUCUGACCAUAAACUAUGCCAACUAGCGAUCAGGAAAUGUUAAAACAGUGACUUUCCUGGCAGCUUGCGGGAAACCUAAGUCUUUGGGUUCCGGGGGAAGUAUGGUUGCAAAGCUGAAACUUAAAGGAAUUGACGGAAGGGCACCACCAGGAGUGGAGCCUGCGGCUUAAUUUGACUCAACACGGGGAAACUCACCCGGCCCGGACACCGUAAGGAUUGACAGAUUGAAGGCUCUUUCUUGAUUCGGUGGGUGGUGGUGCAUGGCCGUUCUUAGUUGGUGGAGCGAUUUGUCUGGUUAAUUCCGAUAACGAACGAGACUCUAGCUUGCUAAAUAGCAAAGUGACGCUCCUUGCGUCGACUUCUGCUUCUUAGAGGGACCGGCGGCGUAUAGCCGCACGAGAUUGAGCAAUAACAGGUCUGUGAUGCCCUUAGAUGUUCGGGGCCGCACGCGCGCUACACUGAGGGGGUCAGCAAGCACUUUUCCCGGUCAGAAAUGGCCGGGUAACCUUCUGAAACCCUCUCGUGAUAGGGAUAGGGGAUUGUAAUUAUUUCCCUUGAACGAGGAAUUCCUAGUAAGCGCAAGUCAUCAGCUUGCGUUGAUUACGUCCCUGCCCUUUGUACACACCGCCCGUCGCUACUACCGAUCGAACGAUUUAGUGAGGCCGGCGGACCGGUUACCACCAGAUGGUUUACGCUGUUUGGCGGCGACUAGAAAUCCGGUCAAACUUGAUCGUUUAGAGGAAGUAAAAGUCGUAACAAGGUUU